CUACGGGUGGCAGCAGUGGGGAAUAUUGGACAAUGGGCGAAAGCCUGAUCCAGCCAUGCCGCGUGUGUGAAGAAGGCCUUCGGGUUGUAAAGCACUUUCAGUGGGGAAGAAAGCCUUGGGGCUAAUACCCUCGAGGAAGGACAUCACCCACAGAAGAAGCACCGGCUAACUCCGUGCCAGCAGCCGCGGUAAUACGGAGGGGUGCGAGCGUUAAUCGGAAUUACUGGGCGUAAAGCGCGCGUAGGCGGUCUGAUAAGCCGGUUGUGAAAGCCCCGGGCUCAACCUGGGAACGGCAUCCGGAACUGUCAGGCUAGAGUGCAGGAGAGGAAGGUAGAAGUCCCGGUGUAGCGGUGAAAUGCGUAGAGAUCGGGAGGAAUACCAGUGGCGAAGGCGGCCUUCUGGACUGACACUGACGCUGAGGUGCGAAAGCGUGGGUAGCAAACAGGAUUACAUACCGAGUAGUC
Molecule: ribosomal RNA, 464 nt
Filed under: Vreelandella stevensii
Lineage: Bacteria; Pseudomonadati; Pseudomonadota; Gammaproteobacteria; Oceanospirillales; Halomonadaceae
Description: partial 16S ribosomal RNA
Rfam family: Bacterial small subunit ribosomal RNA
Source: RNAcentral